This 483-nucleotide ribosomal RNA is filed under the name uncultured bacterium. RNAcentral describes it as "partial 16S ribosomal RNA". It matches the Rfam family "Bacterial small subunit ribosomal RNA", at positions 30 to 506 of the family's 1533-position model. The record is from RNAcentral.
AUUGAACGCUGGCGGCAGGCCUAACACAUGCAAGUCGAGCGGAUGAAGGGAGCUUGCUCCUGGAUUCAGCGGCGGACGGGUGAGUAAUGCCUAGGAAUCUGCCUGGUAGUGGGGGAUAACGUCCGGAAACGGGCGCUAAUACCGCAUACGUCCUGAGGGAGAAAGUGGGGGAUCUUCGGACCUCACGCUAUCAGAUGAGCCUAGGUCGGAUUAGCUAGUUGGUGGGGUAAAGGCCUACCAAGGCGACGAUCCGUAACUGGUCUGAGAGGAUGAUCAGUCACACUGGACCUGAGACACGGUCCAGACUCCUACGGGGGGCAGCAGGGGGGAAUUUUGGAAAAUGGGCAAAAGCCUGAUCCAGCCAUGCCGCGUGUGUGAAGAAGGUCUUCGGUUUGUAAAGCCCUUUAAGUUGGGAGGAAGGGAAGUAAGUUAAUCCCUUGCUGUUUUGACGUUACCAACAGAAUAAGCACCGGCUAAUUUCGU